RNAcentral lists this ribosomal RNA (449 nucleotides) under uncultured bacterium. RNAcentral describes it as "bacterial SSU rRNA". It matches the Rfam family "Bacterial small subunit ribosomal RNA", at positions 354 to 796 of the family's 1533-position model. The record is from RNAcentral.
GUGGGGAAUAUUGGACAAUGGGCGAAAGCCUGAUCCAGCCAUGCCGCGUGUGUGAAGAAGGUCUUCGGAUUGUAAAGCACUUUAAGUUGGGAGGAAGGGCAGUAAGUUAAUACCUUGCUGUUUUGACGUUACCGACAGAAUAAGCACCGGCUAACUUCGUGCCAGCAGCCGCGGUAAUACGAAGGGUGCAAGCGUUAAUCGGAAUUACUGGGCGUAAAGCGCGCGUAGGUGGUUUUGUAAGUUGGAGGUGAAAUCCCCGGGCUCAACCUGGGAACUGCCUCCAAAACUGCAUGACUAGAGUACGGUAGAGGGUAGUGGAAUUUCCUGUGUAGCGGUGAAAUGCGUAGAUAUAGGAAGGAACACCAGUGGCGAAGGCGACUACCUGGACUGAUACUGACACUGAGGUGCGAAAGCGUGGGGAGCAAACAGGAUUAGAAACCCGGUAGUCC